UUGAACGCUGGCGGCAUGCCUUACACAUGCAAGUCGAACGGCAGCACGGGGGCAACCCUGGUGGCGAGUGGCGAACGGGUGAGUAAUAUAUCGGAACAUACCCUAGAGUGGGGGAUAACGUAGCGAAAGUUACGCUAAUACCGCAUACGAUCUACGGAUGAAAGUGGGGGCUCGCAAGACCUCAUGCUCAUGGAGCGGCCGAUAUCUGAUUAGCUAGUUGGUGAGGUAAAGGCUCACCAAGGCGACGAUCAGUAGCUGGUCUGAGAGGACGACCAGCCACACUGGGACUGAGACACGGCGCAGACUCCUACGGGAGGCAGCAGUGGGGAAUUUUGGACAAUGGGGGCAACCCUGAUCCAGCAAUGCCGCGUGAGUGAAGAAGGCCUUCGGGUUGUAAAGCUCUUUUGUCAGGGAAGAAACGGUGAAGGCUAAUAUCUUUUGCUAAUGACGGUACCUGAAGAAUAAGCACCGGCUAACUACGU
Molecule: ribosomal RNA, 482 nt
Filed under: uncultured bacterium
Lineage: Bacteria
Description: bacterial SSU rRNA
Rfam family: Bacterial small subunit ribosomal RNA
Source: RNAcentral